RNAcentral lists this ribosomal RNA (468 nucleotides) under uncultured bacterium. RNAcentral's name for it is "partial 16S ribosomal RNA". It matches the Rfam family "Bacterial small subunit ribosomal RNA", at positions 28 to 507 of the family's 1533-position model. The record is from RNAcentral.
GACGAACGCUGGCGGCGUGCUUAACACAUGCCAGUCGAACGGAAAGGCCCUGCUUUUGUGGGGUGCUCGAGUGGCGAACGGGUGAGUAACACGUGAGUAACCUGCCCUUGACUUUGGGAUAACUUCAGGAAACUGGGGCUAAUACCGGAUAGGAGCUCCUGCUGCAUGGUGGGGGGUGGAAAGUUUCGGCGGUUGGGGAUGGACUCGCGGCUUAUCAGCUUGUUGGUGGGGUAGUGGCUUACCAAGGCUUUGACGGGUAGCCGGCCUGAGAGGGUGACCGGCCACAUUGGGACUGAGAUACGGCCCAGACUCGUACGGGAGGCAGCAGUGGGGAAUAUUGCACAAUGGGCGGAAGCCUGAUGCAGCAACGCCGCGUGCGGGAUGACGGCCUUCGGGUAGUAAACCGCUUUCGCCUGUGACGAAGCGUGAGUGACGGUAAUGGGUAAAGAAGCACCGGCUAACUACGUG